UGAUGCUUAGCGGCGGACGGGUGAGUAACACGUAGGUAACCUGCCUGUGAGACUGGGAUAACUACCGGAAACGGUAGCUAAUACCGGAUAGACAUUUUCCUCGCCUGAGGGANAUGGGAAAGACGGAGCAAUCUGUCACUUGCAGAUGGACCUGCGGCGCAUUAGCUAGUUGGUGGGGUAACGGCUCACCAAGGCGACGAUGCGUAGCCGACCUGAGAGGGUGAUCGGCCACACUGGGACUGAGACACGGCCCAGACUCCUACGGGAGGCAGCAGUAGGGAAUCUUCCGCAAUGGACG
Molecule: ribosomal RNA, 298 nt
Filed under: Paenibacillus apiarius
Lineage: Bacteria; Bacillati; Bacillota; Bacilli; Caryophanales; Paenibacillaceae
Description: partial 16S ribosomal RNA
Rfam family: Bacterial small subunit ribosomal RNA
Source: RNAcentral